CUAAGAUAGCCACAGUUGGUC
This 21-nucleotide non-coding RNA is filed under the name Rattus norvegicus (Norway rat). Lineage: Eukaryota; Metazoa; Chordata; Mammalia; Rodentia; Muridae. The record is from RNAcentral.